This is a non-coding RNA of Paramuricea clavata, 228 nucleotides long. The record is from the annotation of a GenBank genome assembly. NCBI's taxonomy places the organism in Eukaryota, Metazoa, Cnidaria, Anthozoa, Malacalcyonacea, Plexauridae.
GGCCGACGUACUUUAAAAUGGCCAAAAACGUGAAAAGUCUCAUUAUUUUUGCACCCGAUUGUACAGGAGUUAAUUAACUCGAAUGGUAUGAAACAACUGGGAAAAAAGGCACUUCAUGCCGUAUACAAUAUAAGACAAGUUGAAACAACAACUCAACCUACACAAUCUAACCCAAAACUAGCUAUCAGAAUAUUUGGUACCAUAAUAUGACCAAUUCUUUUAUACAAC